Molecule: ribosomal RNA, 543 nt
Filed under: uncultured bacterium
Lineage: Bacteria
Description: bacterial SSU rRNA
Rfam family: Bacterial small subunit ribosomal RNA
Source: RNAcentral
GGAAUCUUGCGCAAUGGGCGAAGGCCUGACGCAGCAACGCCGCGUGCGGGAAGAAGGCUUUCGGGCUGUAAACCGCUUUCAGCAGGAACGAAAAUGACGGUACCUGCAGAAGAAGGAGCGGCCAACUAUGUGCCAGCAGCCGCGGUGAUACAUAGGCUUCAAGCGUUGUCCGGAUUUAUUGGGCGUAAAGAGUUCGUAGGCGGUCGAGUAAGUCGGGUGUGAAAAUUCUGGGCUCAACCCAGAAACGCCACCCGAUACUGCUUAACUUGAGUUCGAUAGGGGAGUGGGGAAUUCCUAGUGUAGCGGUGAAAUGCACAGAUAUUAGGAGGAACACCGGUGGCGAAGGCGCCACUCUGGAUCGAUACUGACGCUGAGGAACGAAAGCAUGGGUAGCAAACAGGAUUAGAUACCCUGGUAGUCCAUGCCGUAAACGGUGGGCACUAGGUGUGGGAUUCUAUUAACGAAUUCCGCGCCGUCGCUAACGCAUUAAGUGCCCCGCCUGGGGAGUACGGUCGCAAGACUAAAACUCAAAUGAAUUGACGG